Molecule: ribosomal RNA, 440 nt
Filed under: uncultured bacterium
Lineage: Bacteria
Description: partial 16S ribosomal RNA
Rfam family: Bacterial small subunit ribosomal RNA
Source: RNAcentral
CCUACGGGGGGCAGCAGUGGGGAAUAUUGCACAAUGGGGGAAACCCUGAUGCAGCGACGCCGCGUGAGUGAGGAAGUAUUUCGGUAUGUAAAGCUCUAUCAGCAGGGAAGAAAAUGACGGUACCUGUCUAAGAAGCCCCGUCUAACUACGGGCCAGCAGCCGCGGGAAUACGUAGGCGGCAAGCGUUAUCCGGAUUUACUGGGUGUAAAGGGAGCGUAGACGGUUAAUCAAGUCAGAAGUGAAAACCUAGGGCUCAACCUUGGGACUGCUUUUGAAACUGAGUAGCUAGAGUGCAGGAGAGGUAAGCGGAAUGCGUGGUGUAGCGGUGAAAUGCGUAGAUAUUAGGAAGAACACCAGUGGCGAAGGCAGCUUACUGGACUGUAACUGACGUUGAGGCUCGAAAGCGUGGGGAGCAAACAGGAUUAGAUACCCGUGUAGUC